This 621-nucleotide ribosomal RNA is filed under the name Brevibacillus brevis. Its description in RNAcentral is "bacterial SSU rRNA". It matches the Rfam family "Bacterial small subunit ribosomal RNA", at positions 60 to 677 of the family's 1533-position model. Lineage: Bacteria; Bacillati; Bacillota; Bacilli; Caryophanales; Paenibacillaceae. The record is from RNAcentral.
AGUCGAGCGAGGGUCUUCGGACCCUAGCGGCGGACGGGUGAGUAACACGUAGGCAACCUGCCUCUCAGACUGGGAUAACAUAGGGAAACUUAUGCUAAUACCGGAUAGGUUUUUGGAUGCAUGAUCCGAAAAGAAAAGAUGGCUUCGGCUAUCACUGGGAGAUGGGCCUGCGGCGCAUUAGCUAGUUGGUGGGGUAACGGCCUACCAAGGCGACGAUGCGUAGCCGACCUGAGAGGGUGACCGGCCACACUGGGACUGAGACACGGCCCAGACUCCUACGGGAGGCAGCAGUAGGGAAUUUUCCACAAUGGACGAAAGUCUGAUGGAGCAACGCCGCCUGAACGAUGAAGGUCUUCGGAUUGUAAAGUUCUGUUGUUAGGGACGAAUAAGUACCGUUCGAAUAGGGCGGUACCUUGACGGUACCUGACGAGAAAGCCACGGCUAACUACGUGCCAGCAGCCGCGGUAAUACGUAGGUGGCAAGCGUUGUCCGGAUUUAUUGGGCGUAAAGCGCGCGCAGGCGGCUAUGUAAGUCUGGUGUUAAAGCCCGGAGCUCAACUCCGGUUCGCAUCGGAAACUGUGUAGCUUGAGUGCAGAAGAGGAAAGCGGUAUUCCACGUGUA